RNAcentral lists this long non-coding RNA (997 nucleotides) under Homo sapiens (human). Its description in RNAcentral is "HSALNT0055624". Lineage: Eukaryota; Metazoa; Chordata; Mammalia; Primates; Hominidae. The record is from RNAcentral.
CCCCACCCAAAUCCCAUCUUGAAUUGUGAUCUGAAUUGCAAUCCCCACGUGUUGGGGGAAGGACUUUGUGGGAGUUGAUUAGAUCUUGGGGUGGUUCCCAUCUGCUGUUCUUAUGAUAGUGAAUUCUCAGGAGAUCUGAUAAUUUUAUAAAGGAUUUUCCCCCACUUCACUCUGCACUUCUAUCUUCUGCUGCCAUGUGAAGGACAUGUUUGCUUCCCCUUCUGCCGUUAUUGCAAAUUCCCUGAGACCUCCCCAGCCAUGCAGAACUGUUAGUCAAUUAAGCCUCAUUCCAUUAUAAAUUGCCCAGUUUCAGGCAGUUCUUCACAGCAGCAUGAAAAGGGACUAAUACAAUACUCUUAUAUGAUGAAAGUAGUUGAAACAGCAAGUUCUCUCCUUUCCGAAUAUAUGUCCUGAGACUAAACUUCUUUGAUUUCUCCAUGGAGGGGAUAGGACAUUGGGCCGAUCUCAUUGCUCCCAGCCUAGCAGGCAUCAGAACCUUAGAAGCCAUGAUUUCACUCAGUGAGUCACUGUCACAUUGGCACAUCCUAUUCCCUGUUGAUGGUGCCACCUUUUACACAAAGGCACUCAGCACAUCCUGCACUGGCAAUGAGAUGAGUCUCCCUGGCUGCCCCUUCCUCUAUGCGACCUCACAAUGAUUGCAUUGGAAGGAUUAUGACAGCAACUUCCUGCAGUCCCAUGGUGCCCAACAAAUUGAGGGUGACUCAGUGCCUCAGACAAGGAGGAGGGCAUCCCAGGAGAAGGCAGAGUCCAGGAGGCGGAUGUUGGGAAGCAAAUCCUGAACUCAUCAAGUCCCAUAGCCCCUUUGUCUAUGGACCUUCUGCCAGCAUCUUCUGUAAGACUAUUAAAAUGCACCAACCCAAGGUCUCCAGUGCUGCUGAGUCCCCCGUGUCACCUCCUGCAACUGCCACAGUUGUCAACAGCUCAAAUCCUAGAGACCUUCUUCAUUAGGUCAAUGAGUAUCUAAACUUUAAAAAAU